GGCUGAAACACUGGUUCCCAUACAAUUACCAAGGUUAAGCAACACUGAGCCUGGUCAGUACCUAGAUGGGUGACCACUGGGGAAUACCAGAUGCU
Molecule: ribosomal RNA, 95 nt
Filed under: Acanthosepion pharaonis
Lineage: Eukaryota; Metazoa; Mollusca; Cephalopoda; Sepiida; Sepiidae
Source: RNAcentral